Long non-coding RNA from Cercocebus atys (sooty mangabey), 848 nucleotides. RefSeq lists it as uncharacterized. The transcript has 3 exons. The record is from RefSeq and is a predicted model, not a curated record. Lineage: Eukaryota; Metazoa; Chordata; Mammalia; Primates; Cercopithecidae.
UGAAAGAGGAUGGCAAUCUCGCUGAAGCUGUUUCUUUUUCUUCACAACAUAUAGGAAAAUGUUGCCCCUUUUUGGAGAAAGUAACAACCUCCACCGUCACUACUUAAACCAGUCUUGAACGAAUGUCAGGUCCUUGGGAAACUCUCCAACCUUAUCUCCUGUCCUGGCCAGGUGUGCUCCAGGUGAACCAUUUGGCUAAGUCAAUUUGAACUAUUUAGGAGACCUUGGUACCUAUGAUUCCUUCUUCUUGGAAGAUCCUUUCUGUUUUGUCAGCUCCUGCUUCCGUGUUGUGGAAAACUCAUCUAACCUCCUAGUCCUGAAUCAGGGGCCAUAAAGGGAAUUGAUGAGGACAACUGACCUCCCAAUAUGUGGAUUCAGUUUCUGUAUGUCAAUUUACCAACUCCCACUGGUAGUCUGAAGAGAUAUGGCUACUGGAGAACAGAAAAUCACCAUUAUUCAUAAAAAGCAAUUUUAAGUGUUUAUCUUUUUGUAUUUGAAUAGCUUUGUUAAAGAGACGUACUCAAGAAUACUAUGAAGAGACUCUUAUUAUACUCCUUACCUGGAGAUAAUUGUGAUGCCAGAAAUUCAAAUUUAUAUUCAACAAUAUGGUUUUUCAACUUUGAAUAUUAUAAACAUCUAGGCAGUAUUUAUUGUUUGCACAUUUGCCAUCCACUAAAAUGAGAUUAUUCUAAGCAUAAAUUAUACUCUUCAUCAUUCAAGAUUAUAAACAUUUAUAAUAAUCAUACUAUUCACAGACAUUUCCCUGCUCUCAAAUCACUAGAGCUAAUAGACAAAGUAGAUACAGCUACAAACAGUGGGAGCAAAUGUUUCUGGCUGACCUACAAAUA